Molecule: long non-coding RNA, 884 nt
Organism: Lolium perenne
Lineage: Eukaryota; Viridiplantae; Streptophyta; Magnoliopsida; Poales; Poaceae
Source: RefSeq, a predicted model, not a curated record
GAAAGAGGUAUGAUUUGAGGAGGGUCAGGAUUAACCGAUUUAGAUUAGGCCCGACAACCCAGUAAGACAUUGAUAAUGGAAAAAAAUAUUAAAAGUAGCAGCGUUUGGGCCGGCCCAAUAAUUGGAUAACAGAGUUUAGACCAAGAGGUAAGCUCUAUCGCGAGAAACGUGCGACAGGCGACACCCCGUCUCUGGGUCGACGGCGACCGCCGUCGGCACUGCGGCGUCGAAGGUGACUGCCGCCGCCGCCGUCGGAUCGGCCUGAUCCUGCAUCGCCGCGAGCGACGCCGCCACCAGGUCGGCCCUGUCCUCCAUCGAGCGACCGCCGCCGCCACCAGAUCGGGCUAGUCCUGCAUCGCCGACGAGCUAUGCCGCCACGACGUCGAGGCCACUACCAAGUUCUACAUCGCCGCAACAUCUAGAGACGCCGCCAGCUAGCAGAGCUACCAAGUGGACAAUUGUUGGGAAGCCAGCAAUGAGCUACGCGCGGCCAGCGGCGGUCGUCCGGAGGGCGACAACGAGCUGCUAUGAGGUCGCCGACAAUCUGCUGGAGCCGGAGCUGCUGGGAGGUCGGCGACGAUCUGGUGGAGGCGGCAACGAACUACCGGAGGCUGGCAACGACCUGCUGGAGGCCAGCCACGAGCUUCUGUUUGUAGUCAAGAAUGUGGUGGCUUCUUGGGUUGGUCUGUUUUGACCCGUGAGGGCUAGCGCAGCUGACGUGCAAGAUAUUUCAUGGUGGCAAAGUAUUGAACGAUACUGUUGCAUGCAAUCAAUUUUAACAUACAACUAAUAGGUUUAUGUACAACAAUGGCUAGUUCUGAAACUUCAUAUAUAUGAUGGAUGUAUUAAAUAUGCGGACACACGAAGAUAAACGACUUUUUUGA